Molecule: ribosomal RNA, 497 nt
Filed under: uncultured bacterium
Lineage: Bacteria
Description: partial 16S ribosomal RNA
Rfam family: Bacterial small subunit ribosomal RNA
Source: RNAcentral
GAUGAACGCUGGCGGCGUGCCUAAUACAUGCAAGUCGAGCGAACGGACGAGAAGCUUGCUUCUCUGAUGUUAGCGGCGGACGGGUGAGUAACACGUGGAUAACCUACCUAUAAGACUGGGAUCACUUCGGGAAACCGUAGCUAAUACCGGAUAAUAUUUUGAACCGCAUGGUUCAAAAGUGAAAGACGGUCUUGCUGUCACUUAUAGAUGGAUCCGCGCUGCAUUAGCUAGUUGGUAAGGUAACGGCUUACCAAGGCUACGAUGCAUAGCCGACCUGAGAGGAUGAUCAGCCACACUGGAACUGAGACACGGUCCAGACUCCUACGGGAGGCAGCAGUAGGGAAUCUUCCGCAAUGGGCGAAAGCCUGACGGAGCAACGCCGCGUGAGUGAUGAAGGUCUUCGGAUCGUAAAACUCUGUUAUUAGGGAAGAACAUAUGUGUAAGUAACUGUGCACAUCUUGACGGUACCUACUCAGAAAGCCACGGCUAACUACGUG